UCUAAGGCUUUCAUAUGUGUUGUCUUUAUGUAGUCAAUAAGUGUUGAACAGGAAAAAUGGGUUUAGGCGGCAAUAUGGUUUACUAGGUAUAAAAGUGGGGUUCUUGGAUCAAAGCCGAUCAACAUGGUUGAAACCAGAUGAUAUUCUGUAUUUAUUAUGUUUUUCUGCUUUGUUACCGUUCAUGUUUGAUUCAAAUUCAUGAUCACGUAAUUCAUUCUCAUAUUCAAUGAUAAGCUUGGGACAGGUGGAUGUGCCUGUUUAUGCAGCAGGAACUGGUGUUAAACCUGCAGAAAUAGCUAGGCAAGGUCUAGAAGAGGCCAAAAGGAAGAAUAUGGAUGUGGUCAUAGUGGACACAGCUGGAAGACUUCAGGUUUGGUAGAGGGAACUAGAAGCUCAUCUUAAAUUCAGAUCGUGACAUAUUUGAAGAGAGAACCGAGGUUGAUUUGAAGGACAAGUGGAGAAAUAUGAUACAUUACUGACUCUUAAAAAAAGAAGAUGGUCUGCAGUUUGUAUAAACUCUUUACUUAUCUAAAGAAGAUGGUCUGCAGUUUGUAUUAUAGGAGGGUUCUUGCAUGUUGAUUGAUUCUUCAUAGUUUUCUACUCUACUUGA
Camellia sinensis is the source of this 610-nucleotide non-coding RNA. NCBI's taxonomy places the organism in Eukaryota, Viridiplantae, Streptophyta, Magnoliopsida, Ericales, Theaceae. The record is from RefSeq and is a predicted model, not a curated record.